UACGGGAGGCAGCAGUGAGGAAUAUUGGGCAAUGGAGGCAACUCUGACCCAGCCAUGCCGCGUGAGUGAAGAAGGUUUUCGGAUUGUAAAGCUCUUUCAGACGGGAAGAUGAUGACGGUACCGUCAGAAGAAGCACCGGCUAACUUCGUGCCAGCAGCCGCGGUAAU
This 167-nucleotide ribosomal RNA is filed under the name uncultured rumen bacterium. RNAcentral's name for it is "partial 16S ribosomal RNA". It matches the Rfam family "Bacterial small subunit ribosomal RNA", at positions 340 to 524 of the family's 1533-position model. The record is from RNAcentral.